CGUGUAGGCGGUCAGGUAAGUGGAAUGUGAAAUGCCCCGGCUCACCCGGGGACCGGCAUCCCAAACUGCCUGGCUUGAGUAUGGGAGAGGAUGGAGGAAUUCCUGGUGUAGCGGUGAAAUGCGUAGAUAUCAGGAGGAACACCGGCGGCGAAGGCGUCCAUCUGGCCCAAUACUGACGCUGAGGCGCGAAAGCUAGGGGAGCAAACG
Molecule: ribosomal RNA, 207 nt
Filed under: uncultured Latescibacterota bacterium
Lineage: Bacteria; Pseudomonadati; Candidatus Latescibacterota
Description: uncultured Latescibacteria bacterium partial 16S ribosomal RNA
Rfam family: Bacterial small subunit ribosomal RNA
Source: RNAcentral